GACGAACGCUGGCGGCGUGCUUAACACAUGCAAGUCGAACGGAAAGGCCCUGCUUUUGUGGGGUGCUCGAGUGGCGAACGGGUGAGUAACACGUGAGUAACCUGCCCUUGACUUUGGGAUAACUUCAGGAAACUGGGGCUAAUACCGGAUAGGAGCUCCUGCUGCAUGGUGGGGGUUGGAAAGUUUCGGCGGUUGGGGAUGGACUCGCGGCUUAUCAGCUUGUUGGUGGGGUAGUGGCUUACCAAGGCUUUGACGGGUAGCCGGCCUGAGAGGGUGACCGGCCACAUUGGGACGGAGAUGCGGCCCAGACUCCUACGGGAGGCAGCAGUAGGGAAGAGUGCACAAUGGGAGGAAGCCUGAUGCAGCAACGCCGCGUGCGGGAUGACGGCCUUCGGGUUGUAAACCGCUUUCGCCUGUGACGAAGCGUGAGUGACGGUAAUGGGUAAAGAAGCACCGGCUAACUACGUG
RNAcentral lists this ribosomal RNA (468 nucleotides) under uncultured bacterium. Its description in RNAcentral is "partial 16S ribosomal RNA". It matches the Rfam family "Bacterial small subunit ribosomal RNA", at positions 28 to 507 of the family's 1533-position model. The record is from RNAcentral.